This 516-nucleotide ribosomal RNA is filed under the name uncultured bacterium. RNAcentral's name for it is "bacterial SSU rRNA". It matches the Rfam family "Bacterial small subunit ribosomal RNA", at positions 28 to 526 of the family's 1533-position model. The record is from RNAcentral.
GACGAACGCUGGCGGCGUGCCUAAUACAUGCAAGUCGAGCGGACCAAAGGGAGCUUGCUCCUGGAGGUUAGCGGCGAACGGGUGAGUAACACGUGGGCAACCUGCCUGUAAGACUGGGAUAACAUCGAGAAAUCGGUGCUAAUACCGGAUAAUAAAAAGAACUGCAUGGUUCUUUUUUGAAAGAUGGUUUCGGCUAUCACUUACAGAUGGGCCCGCGGCGCAUUAGCUAGUUGGUGAGGUAACGGCUCACCAAGGCGACGAUGCGUAGCCGACCUGAGAGGGUGAUCGGCCACACUGGGACUGAGACACGGCCCAGACUCCUACGGGAGGCAGCAGUAGGGAAUCUUCCGCAAUGGACGAAAGUCUGACGGAGCAACGCCGCGUGAGUGAUGAAGGUUUUCGGAUCGUAAAACUCUGUUGUUAGGGAAGAACAAGUGCCGUUCGAAAGGGCGGCACCUUGACGGUACCUAACGAGAAAGCCACGGCUAACUACGUGCCAGCAGCCGCGGUAAAGUC